UCUUUUAAUUGAAGGCUUGUAUGAAUGGUUGGACAAAGUAUUUUCUGUCUCAUAGAAAUUAAAUUAGAAGUUUACUUUUUAGUUAAAAGGCUAAAAUUUAGUUAAAGGACGAGAAGACCCUAUAGAACUUUAUAAUAGAUAUAUUUAAUAAAUAAAGAAUUAUUUAAAUUUUAUAUUAUAUAUUAUUUUAUUGGGGUGAUAGUAAGAUUUAUAUAUCUCUUAUUUUUAUAUUUAACAAAUAUAUUUGAAUUAUUGAUCCAGUUUUAUUGAUUAGAAAUUUAAGUUACCUUAGGGAUAACAGCGUAAUUUUUUUUGAGAGUUCAUAUCGACAUAAAAGAUUGC
This 342-nucleotide ribosomal RNA is filed under the name Pachyneura fasciata. RNAcentral's name for it is "partial 16S ribosomal RNA". Lineage: Eukaryota; Metazoa; Arthropoda; Insecta; Diptera; Pachyneuridae. The record is from RNAcentral.